This 850-nucleotide ribosomal RNA is filed under the name Coleophoma caliginosa. Its description in RNAcentral is "eukaryotic LSU rRNA". It matches the Rfam family "Eukaryotic large subunit ribosomal RNA", at positions 77 to 944 of the family's 3401-position model. Lineage: Eukaryota; Fungi; Ascomycota; Leotiomycetes; Helotiales; Dermateaceae. The record is from RNAcentral.
ACCUCAGUAACGGCGAGUGAAGCGGUAACAGCUCAAAUUUGAAAUCUGGGCCUUUCAGGCUCCGAGUUGUAAUUUGUAGAAGAUGCUUCGGGUGCGGCUCCGGUCUAAGUUCCUUGGAACAGGACGUCAUAGAGGGUGAGAAUCCCGUAUGUGAUCGGGGGCCUGCGCCCGUGUGAAGCUCUUUCGACGAGUCGAGUUGUUUGGGAAUGCAGCUCAAAAUGGGUGGUAAAUUUCAUCUAAAGCUAAAUAUUGGCCAGAGACCGAUAGCGCACAAGUAGAGUGAUCGAAAGAUGAAAAGCACUUUGGAAAGAGAGUUAAACAGUACGUGAAAUUGUUGAAAGGGAAGCGCUUGCAACCAGACUUGCGCGGGGCCGAUCAUCCGGGGUUCUCCCCGGUGCACUCGGCCCCGCUCAGGCCAGCAUCGGUUUCGGUGGCGGGACAAAGGCUGCGGGAAUGUGGCUCCCCUCGGGGAGUGUUAUAGCCCGCGGUGCAAUGCCGCCUACCGGGACCGAGGACCGCGCUUCGGCUAGGAUGCUGGCGUAAUGGUUGUAAGCGACCCGUCUUGAAACACGGACCAAGGAGUCUAACAUCUAUGCGAGUGUUUGGGUGUCAAACCCAUACGCGUAAUGAAAGUGAACGGAGGUGAGAACCCUUAAGGGUGCAUCAUCGACCGAUCCUGAUGUCUUCGGAUGGAUUUGAGUAAGAGCAUAGCUGUUGGGACCCGAAAGAUGGUGAACUAUGCCUGAAUAGGGUGAAGCCAGAGGAAACUCUGGUGGAGGCUCGCAGCGGUUCUGACGUGCAAAUCGAUCGUCAAAUUUGGGUAUAGGGGCGAAAGACUAAUCGAACCAUU